UACGUAGGGUGCGAGCGUUGUCCGGAAUUAUUGGGCGUAAAGGGCUCGUAGGCGGCCAACUAGGUCAUACGUGAAAUCCCUCAGCUUAACUGGGGAACUGCGUGUGAUACUGGAUGGCUUGGAUGUGGGAGAGGGAUGCGGAAUUCCAGGUGUAGCGGUGAAAUGCGUAGAUAUCUGGAGGAACACCGGUGGCGAAGGCGGCAUCCUGGACCAUUAUUGACGCUGAGGAGCGAAAGCCAGGGGAGCAAACGGG
This 253-nucleotide ribosomal RNA is filed under the name uncultured bacterium. RNAcentral describes it as "partial 16S ribosomal RNA". It matches the Rfam family "Bacterial small subunit ribosomal RNA", at positions 524 to 776 of the family's 1533-position model. The record is from RNAcentral.